Molecule: ribosomal RNA, 253 nt
Filed under: uncultured bacterium
Lineage: Bacteria
Description: partial 16S ribosomal RNA
Rfam family: Bacterial small subunit ribosomal RNA
Source: RNAcentral
UACGUAGGGUGCAAGCGUUAAUCGGAAUUACUGGGCGUAAAGCGUGCGCAGGCGGUGAUGUAAGACAGUUGUGAAAUCCCCGGGCUCAACCUGGGAACUGCAUCUGUGACUGUAUAGCUAGAGUACGGUAGAGGGGGAUGGAAUUCCGCGUGUAGCAGUGAAAUGCGUAGAUAUGCGGAGGAACACCGAUGGCGAAGGCAAUCCCCUGGACCUGUACUGACGCUCAUGCACGAAAGCGUGGGGAGCAAACAGG